Halichondria panicea is the source of this 315-nucleotide long non-coding RNA. RefSeq lists it as uncharacterized. The transcript is spliced from 2 exons. The record is from RefSeq and is a predicted model, not a curated record. Lineage: Eukaryota; Metazoa; Porifera; Demospongiae; Suberitida; Halichondriidae.
UGUGGGUUUCAUUUAAAGCCCACUCCUCCCUCAUGGUCUCAAUAAAAAUUAGAAGCUGGAGCUAACUAUAGAAGUGAACGUGAACAUGUGAUGGAACAAAUAAGCUGGUGCAUAUGACAGUGACAAAAACCACUGAAAGACAAUAUAUAAAUGGAUGGCUGAAAGGAACUAAGACGUGUUGGGCUUCAAAACAGUUCAUUUCUUUUUCUUUCAAUCUCUUAUGCACAGUCAUGUUUUACAUUCUCUGAUCUGUGUUGAUUCUGUAUAAGUAGAAAACUAUAAUUAUGAUUGUAACUAUCUUGUUGAUGUUAUGGA